AACCCAUGAUGAGGGCAUAUUUUCAAAAGAUCUUUAAAUCUCCACCAUGUAUCAUAUAAUGUCUCCAUAUCAAAUUGAACAAAAGAAGAAAUGUCAUUUCUCAACUU
Molecule: small nucleolar RNA, 107 nt
Filed under: Gossypium hirsutum (cotton)
Lineage: Eukaryota; Viridiplantae; Streptophyta; Magnoliopsida; Malvales; Malvaceae
Also listed under: 1 other name
Description: Plant small nucleolar RNA R71
Rfam family: Plant small nucleolar RNA R71
About the family: R71 is a member of the C/D box family of snoRNAs containing the C (UGAUGA) and D (CUGA) box motifs. Multiple nearly identical copies of this snoRNA have been identified in Arabidopsis, and it is thought to function as a 2'-O-ribose methylation guide for 18S ribosomal RNA.
Source: Rfam by way of RNAcentral